Molecule: ribosomal RNA, 489 nt
Filed under: uncultured bacterium
Lineage: Bacteria
Description: partial 16S ribosomal RNA
Rfam family: Bacterial small subunit ribosomal RNA
Source: RNAcentral
GACGAACGCUGGCGGCGUGCUUAACACAUGCAAGUCGAACGGAAAGGCCCCCAUCUUGGUGGGGGUGCUCGAGUGGCGAACGGGUGAGUAACACGUGGGUGAUCUGCCCUGUACUUCGGGAUAAGCUUGGGAAACUGGGUCUAAUACCGGAUAGGACCAUGGUUUAGUGUCUCAUGGUGGAAAGAUUAUUGUUUUGGUGCAGGAUGAGCUCGCGGCCUAUCAGCUUGUUGGUGGGGUAAUGGCCUACCAAGGCGUCGACGGGUAGCCGGCCUGAGAGGGUGGACGGCCACAUUGGGACUGAGAGACGGGCCAGACUCCUAAGGGAGGCAGAAGUGGGGAAUAUUGAACAAUGGGCGCAAGCCUGAUGCAGCGACGCCGAGUGGGGGAUGACGGCCUUCGGGUUGUAAACUCCUUUCGUGAGGGACGAAGCCGCACUUUUUUUGGGUGUGGUGACGGUACCUUUGUUAAGAAGCACCGGCUAACUACGUG